GACGAACGCUGGCGGCGUGCCUAAUACAUGCCAGUAGAACGCACAGUUUAUACCGUAGCUUGCUACACCAUAGACUGUGAGUUGCGAACGGGUGAGUAACGCGUAGGUAACCUGCCUGGUAGCGGGGGAUAACUAUUGGAAACGAUAGCUAAUACCGCAUAAUAUUGAUUAUUGCAUGAUAAUUAAUUGAAAGGUGCAAUUGCACCACUACCAGAUGGACCUGCGUUGUAUUAGCUAGUAGGUGAGGUAACGGCUCACCUAGGCGACGAUACAUAGCCGACCUGAGAGGGUGAUCGGCCACACUGGGACUGAGACACGGCCCAGUCUCCUACGGGAGGCAGCAGUAGGGAAUCUUCGGCAAUGGACGAAAGUCUGACCGAGCAACGCCGCGUGAGUGAAGAAGGUUUUCGGAUCGUAAAGCUCUGUUGUAAGAGAAGAACGGGUGUGAGAGUGGAAAGUUCACACUGUGACGGUAUCUUACCAGAAAGGGACGGCUAACUACGUG
RNAcentral lists this ribosomal RNA (505 nucleotides) under uncultured bacterium. RNAcentral's name for it is "partial 16S ribosomal RNA". It matches the Rfam family "Bacterial small subunit ribosomal RNA", at positions 28 to 507 of the family's 1533-position model. The record is from RNAcentral.